This 879-nucleotide long non-coding RNA is filed under the name Homo sapiens (human). RNAcentral describes it as "HSALNT0357596". Lineage: Eukaryota; Metazoa; Chordata; Mammalia; Primates; Hominidae. The record is from RNAcentral.
AGGGUGGCAUAGACGGCGAGCCCAGGGAGGCCACUGACAUGCAUUCAAGAGAAAAGAAAAGAAGCCAGGCUUUGGUCAGUUGUGAAUAUACCAUCUCCUGACUCCCAAGCAUUGGUUCAUCAUCCAGCUGGCAAUUGUUGAGCCUCAGCCAAUGGUGGAACCAAAAUCUAGUAUCUCUGGAGUAAUUUCCAUUUCCAACAGAAGGAGAGUGACUUUCACUGACUCUUACUCUCCAUUUGGAUUUCAGGCAUAAGUGCUUCAUGGUGGAGUGAGAAUGGCUUGCCCUGGAAGGGUCAUGUUUUAGAAGGAGUGAUCUUCAUUGUGAAGUCUAAACUGUUCUGGAAAUAUAAGCUUUGAAACCCAGUACUGAAUUCUCACAGGAAGUCUCAGACGAAGACACUGCUAACUCCACUUUCAGAGAGAAACACUGAGGCUCAGAGCUAAACUAACUCGCCUCAGAGCCCACAUCCUGGACUUGAGCCUCAGGGUGUUGCAUGCCAAAGCCUGUCCUCUUCACCCCAGCUUCCUGGGCAUUGGAGCGGAUCCAUAGUGUUAGAUAUGCAGUGGGAAUGGCCCCCAUUCCAAGCCACUUCCUGACCUGAUGGCAGCACCCUGCUAGUCCUCACAUGGAGCCCUGGAGAAGCCGGGUUCCUUAACCCAGAUUUGAAUCAAUAGCCUCACACCUGGUAUGCACAUCCAGGCCAAGUGUGGCUGAAUGGGGAGCAUCUGUUCUGGAGACGGCCACCCUCAUGGGCUCCUCUGCUUCCUGUCCCUUCGGGCACUGAUUUAUGGCACACAGCAGGGAAGGGCCUGAGCUUGAGCCCUGACCAUCGUUAUCAUCACCAUCUUCAUUCCAGUGCAGUGAAGAACAUUCUGAAG